CGGCGUGGAUUAGGCAUGCAAGUCGCGCGAGAAGUUCCUUCGGGAGACGGACAGGCGGCGGAAGGGAGAGGAAUAAGUAGAAAUCUGCCCUCGGGACGGGGAUAGCGGCGGGAAACUGCCGGUAAUACCCGAUAACAUCUUUGGAUCAAAUGGUGUGAUUCCGCCUGAGGAUGAGUCUACUUCCUAUUAGCUAGUUGGUGUGGUAAUGGCUCACCAAGGCAACGAUGGGUANCGGGUGUGAGAGCACGAUCGCCUCACUGGGACUGAGACACUGCCCAGACACCUACGGGUGGCUGCAGUCGAGAAUCUUCGGCAAUGGGGGAAACCCUGACCGAGCGACGCCGCGUGCCGGGAUGAAGGCCCUCGGGUUGUAAACCGCUGUCGUAAGGGAACAAAUCUAAGAGGGUACUCCCUUUUAGUUGAGUGAUCUUAGGAGGAAGGACGGGCUAAGUUCGUG
This 457-nucleotide ribosomal RNA is filed under the name uncultured bacterium. RNAcentral's name for it is "bacterial SSU rRNA". It matches the Rfam family "Bacterial small subunit ribosomal RNA", at positions 40 to 507 of the family's 1533-position model. The record is from RNAcentral.